RNAcentral lists this ribosomal RNA (253 nucleotides) under uncultured bacterium. RNAcentral's name for it is "partial 16S ribosomal RNA". It matches the Rfam family "Bacterial small subunit ribosomal RNA", at positions 524 to 776 of the family's 1533-position model. The record is from RNAcentral.
UACGUAGGUGGCAAGCGUUGUCCGGAUUUAUUGGGUUUAAAGGGUGCGUAGGCGGCCCUGUAAGUCAGUGCUGAAAUAUCCCAGCUUAACUGGGAGGGUGGCAUUGAUACUGCGGGGCUAGAGUACAGAUGAGGUAGGCGGAAUUGACGGUGUAGCGGUGAAAUGCUUAGAUAUCGUCAAGAACACCUAUUGCGAAGGCAGCUUACUAAGCUGUAACUGACGCUGAGGCACGAAAGCGUGGGGAUCAAACAGG